RNAcentral lists this ribosomal RNA (740 nucleotides) under Staphylococcus sp. RNAcentral's name for it is "bacterial SSU rRNA". It matches the Rfam family "Bacterial small subunit ribosomal RNA", at positions 56 to 779 of the family's 1533-position model. The record is from RNAcentral. Lineage: Bacteria; Bacillati; Bacillota; Bacilli; Caryophanales; Staphylococcaceae.
UGCAGUCGAGCGAACAGACGAGGAGCUUGCUCCUUUGACGUUAGCGGCGGACGGGUGAGUAACACGUGGGUAACCUACCUAUAAGACUGGGAUAACUUCGGGAAACCGGAGCUAAUACCGGAUAAUAUUUCGAACCGCAUGGUUCGAUAGUGAAAGAUGGCUCUGCUAUCACUUAUAGAUGGACCUGCGCCGUAUUAGCUAGUUGGUAAGGUAACGGCUUACCAAGGCAACGAUACGUAGCCGACCUGAGAGGGUGAUCGGCCACACUGGAACUGAGACACGGUCCAGACUCCUACGGGAGGCAGCAGUAGGGAAUCUUCCGCAAUGGGCGAAAGCCUGACGGAGCAACGCCGCGUGAGUGAUGAAGGUCUUCGGAUCGUAAAACUCUGUUAUUAGGGAAGAACAAACGUGUAAGUAACUGUGCACGUCUUGACGGUACCUAAUCAGAAAGCCACGGCUAACUACGUGCCAGCAGCCGCGGUAAUACGUAGGUGGCAAGCGUUAUCCGGAAUUAUUGGGCGUAAAGCGCGCGUAGGCGGUUUUUUAAGUCUGAUGUGAAAGCCCACGGCUCAACCGUGGAGGGUCAUUGGAAACUGGAAAACUUGAGUGCAGAAGAGGAAAGUGGAAUUCCAUGUGUAGCGGUGAAAUGCGCAGAGAUAUGGAGGAACACCAGUGGCGAACGCGACUUUCUGGUCUGUAACUGACGCUGAUGUGCGAAAGCGUGGGGAUCAAACAGGAUU